GUCCCGUUCGUCUAGAGGUCUAGGACACCGCCCUUUCACGGCGGUAACAGGGGUUCGACUCCCCCUACGGGAUACCA
Molecule: transfer RNA, 77 nt
Filed under: Vibrio parahaemolyticus
Lineage: Bacteria; Pseudomonadati; Pseudomonadota; Gammaproteobacteria; Vibrionales; Vibrionaceae
Description: tRNA-Glu
Rfam family: tRNA
About the family: Transfer RNA (tRNA) molecules are approximately 80 nucleotides in length.
Source: RNAcentral